Long non-coding RNA from Anolis carolinensis (green anole), 2681 nucleotides. NCBI's taxonomy places the organism in Eukaryota, Metazoa, Chordata, Lepidosauria, Squamata, Anolidae. The record is from Ensembl.
AUGCAAAAGGCUUGCCUCCAGGUUACAACAACACAACCACACCACAAAACCACAAUCCAGACCCACAAAACUCAGAACAACGCAUCAUGCAAUAACAACACAACUAAACGCCCCAGAAAUACAAAACUUGGCAACACAAUGCAAAAGCCUUGCCUCCCAGUUGUAACAACACAACCACACCAGAAAAGCGCACAGGACCCACAAAACUCACAACAACGCAUCAUGACUAUAACAACACAACUAAACGCGCCAGAAAUACAAAACUCACAACAAUGCAUCGUGACUAUAACAACACAACUAAACGCCCCAGAAAUACAAAACUUGGCACACAACUAAAUGCCCCAGAAAUACAAAACUUGGCAACACAACACAAAAGCCUUGCCUCUCAGUUGUAACAACACAACCACGCCACAAAACAACAAUCCAGACCCACAAAACUCACAACAACGCAUUGUGACUAUAACAAAUACAAAAUCUGACAACACAACUCAUCCACCUCCCCAAUCCCUACAUUCACACUUGGCCUCCAAAAAAAACAAUUACAAUAAUAACAAUGACAACAACAACAACAAUAAUAAUAAACACCUACACAGGCAAAACAACAAAAAGACUAUUGUACCACAAUAAAAAUAUAAACCGCACUCAGCAGAAUCAGACAUCACGAUUAACAACAAACCAAAGACAACAGGGAUCUCAAGCAAUUAUCAAUCAACACAAAAACUGAAGAAGGUAACAGACUUCAAAUACUACUACUAAUGUGAGUAUAAAGAAGAUGGAGCUCACAGCAUAAAUUCAACCUAAUGUAGACUGACCAACACCACCAGACUAAGCCACAGCAACGCGUGGCCGGGCACAGCUAGUUAAUUAAUAUAUUUGUACUCUGCUGUAUAUCGAGAAUGCUCAGGGCAACUUGUAAAGCAGUGGUUCCCAACCUUUCCUUUGAUCAGGCACUUUGACCAGGGACCACUCUCCAACAUUAGUUCCAAAAGGGUUACAAAUCAGAUUUUGGUCAACCUUAGAUUCAGUUUGGUUAUCUGGUGUGCUGAUUCAGAAAACUGCAUUGGAUAGACCACAUCAGCUCUAGUUUUUGAUGCCAUCCAAUAGUCGCCAUUUGCUCACCCACAGAAAACUAUAUUUAAUAAUCUAUAGCUGAUGUGGUCUAUCUAAUGCAAUUUUCUGAGUCAGCACCCCAAAUAACACAAGGAACAGGCCUAAAAAUGAAGACACUAACACACCCCCACUUCCAUGCACCACAUGGAACGUCUCCGCUCAGGGGGAGGGAGGAGGAGGAGAACCAGCAGCAGUCAGGAGACUUGUUGUUGUGCCUUUCAGGGGUAGUCAGGGUCUCCCAACAUCCCCGUUGACUCAGCACUAUAAGAGGGUUUUGUGAGACCAGUCGCUGUUGUCGCAAUUGUAUAAUAAUGGUGAGUCUGCGGACCAUAUUUUAGUUCUUGGGGACCACAGGUUGGGAACCACUGUUGUAAAGGCAUUAAAACAGGUAAAACAAGCUAAAAGGAGAAAGGUAUGUUUCAAUAAGCCAAAAUGUAUAAACAAUAUUAUAAUAGAAUUGAGGCAGGGGGAAAAUCUUUUAUAUAAUCCCACUGUUGCCACCAAUAUAACAGAAUGAGCAAAACGGGGAGGCUAAUUAUAACAGAUUUUCUUUUAAAAUGGUAGCUGCCACCAACCUAAAAUGUCUUUAGGAUUUUUGCUGUUAAAUGUGUCUGAGAUAAAUUUCUCCCAUUCACUGCCCACACUGUUUCUACCCCUGUCUCCCAAACUGAUGUUCACUAUGAGGCUUUUCAGUGAUAUUUUAUUGUUGUAAUGCUGAAACUUUUAUUAAGGCUUCUUGAUGGAAAAUAUACACUGUGGAGGCUCUUGAAAGUUGAAAAUAGAAUAAAAAUUUAUUUUCUUAAAAACAGGUAAAUGAUUACUUCAGAGAGGUUCAUAAGCGUAAACGGUUACUGCGUUCUUCAGCUUAACUUAGUUGUAUGUUCCAGAUUACUUCACUUAGUUUCAAACAGUUCCAACCAACCAAUCUAUCUAUUGGUCACAAAAACCCUCGCUCUAUUUGCUGAGAAUAGACAUGAGUUCCCCUGGGUUGUUAAUUAACUCUAACCUAGAGUCCUUCUAUUAACCAGUCCAGUAGUGAGAGUCAAUCCCUUGAGUUAUCUUCCCUUCAAGAGAUCCAAACUGCUUGACCUAGCUUGUCAGUUUCACAGCUUUUCAGUUCUCUCUCUCUCACACACACACACGCUCCGAACUCCAAAACUGAACUGCUCUCUUCAAACCCUAAAACAGAACUCUCCUGGAGCUCUUUUUUUCUUCUGCUCCCUAAGACUUGGCUCCUCCCCUCUGCUCCGGUUGGCCAAUCCUAGGAGUCUCUCUCUAAGCUCCUCCUCCUUUCUAACCACACUCAAGAUGGCUGCCUGGCAUUCCUCUACGAAAUGGAUGUCUGCCUCACUCACUGUUACCAAGGCUUCAUUCCAGGCCUAAUAGGUAAGGUUCACUACAAAUAUCAUGAGUUAAAAACAGAUUUAUUUAUUUUAUUUUUAUAAUAACAUAUUUGGGUAGAAUUAAUAAAGCACAAAGGUUUUGGUGGACAACCAAGUUUUAACUUGGAAUGCAAAUGACUUAGAAUGCAAAGGGAGACCAUACCACAGUUGGGAUGCCAUUCCUGAUAA